UAGUCGUAACAUGGCUGGUUUUGGAGAC
RNAcentral lists this small RNA (28 nucleotides) under Bombyx mori (domestic silkworm). RNAcentral's name for it is "ovarian small RNA-23012". The record is from RNAcentral. Lineage: Eukaryota; Metazoa; Arthropoda; Insecta; Lepidoptera; Bombycidae.